Molecule: ribosomal RNA, 815 nt
Filed under: Lentilactobacillus buchneri
Lineage: Bacteria; Bacillati; Bacillota; Bacilli; Lactobacillales; Lactobacillaceae
Description: bacterial SSU rRNA
Rfam family: Bacterial small subunit ribosomal RNA
Source: RNAcentral
UCAUGGCUCAGGACGAACGCUGGCGGCGUGCCUAAUACAUGCAAGUCGAACGCGUCUCCGUUAAUGAUUUUAGGUGCUUGCACUUGAAAGAUUUAACAUUGAGACGAGUGGCGAACUGGUGAGUAACACGUGGGUAACCUGCCCUUGAAGUAGGGGAUAACACUUGGAAACAGGUGCUAAUACCGUAUAACAACCAAAACCACCUGGUUUUGGUUUAAAAGACGGCUUCGGCUGUCACUUUAGGAUGGACCCGCGGCGUAUUAGCUUGUUGGUAAGGUAACGGCCUACCAAGGCGAUGAUACGUAGCCGACCUGAGAGGGUAAUCGGCCACAUUGGGACUGAGACACGGCCCAAACUCCUACGGGAGGCAGCAGUAGGGAAUCUUCCACAAUGGACGAAAGUCUGAUGGAGCAACGCCGCGUGAGUGAUGAAGGGUUUCGGCUCGUAAAACUCUGUUGUUGGAGAAGAACAGGUGUCAGAGUAACUGUUGACAUCUUGACGGUAUCCAACCAGAAAGCCACGGCUAACUACGUGCCAGCAGCCGCGGUAAUACGUAGGUGGCAAGCGUUGUCCGGAUUUAUUGGGCGUAAAGCGAGCGCAGGCGGUUUUUUAGGUCUGAUGUGAAAGCCUUCGGCUUAACCGGAGAAGUGCAUCGGAAACCGGGAGACUUGAGUGCAGAAGAGGACAGUGGAACUCCAUGUGUAGCGGUGAAAUGCGUAGAUAUAUGGAAGAACACCAGUGGCGAAGGCGGCUGUCUGGUCUGUAACUGACGCUGAGGCUCGAAAGCAUGGGUAGCGAACAGGAUUAGAUACCCU